This 253-nucleotide ribosomal RNA is filed under the name uncultured bacterium. RNAcentral's name for it is "partial 16S ribosomal RNA". It matches the Rfam family "Bacterial small subunit ribosomal RNA", at positions 524 to 776 of the family's 1533-position model. The record is from RNAcentral.
UACGAAGGGGGCUAGCGUUGUUCGGAAUUACUGGGCGUAAAGGGCGCGUAGGCGGUGCCUCAAGUCAGGCGUGAAAGCCCCGGGCUCAACCUGGGAACCGCGCUUGAGACUGGAGUACUAGAGUUCGGGAGAGGAUGGUGGAAUUCCCAGUGUAGAGGUGAAAUGCGCAGAUAUCAGGAAGAACACCAAUGGCGAAAGCAGCUCUCUGGGACGGUACUGACGCUGAGACGCGAAAGCGUGGGGAGCGAACAGG